This 301-nucleotide ribosomal RNA is filed under the name uncultured bacterium. RNAcentral describes it as "partial 16S ribosomal RNA". It matches the Rfam family "Bacterial small subunit ribosomal RNA", at positions 509 to 807 of the family's 1533-position model. The record is from RNAcentral.
CAGCCGCCGCGGUAAUACGUAGGUGGCAAGCGUUGUCCGGAAUUAUUGGGCGUAAAGGGCUCGCAGGCGGUUUCUUAAGCCUGAUGUGAAAGCCCCCGGCUCAACCGGGGAGGGUCAUUGGAAACUGGGAAACUUGAGUGCAGAAGAGGAGAGUGGAAUUCCACGUGUAGCGGUGAAAUGCGUAGAGAUGUGGAGGAACACCAGUGGCGAAGGCGACUCUCUGGUCUGUAACUGACGCUGAGGAGCGAAAGCGUGGGGAGCGAACAGGAUUAGAUACCCCGGUAGUCCCUGUCUCUUAUAC